UACGUAGGGUGCAAGCGUUGUCCGGAAUUAUUGGGCGUAAAGAGCUCGUAGGCGGUUUGUCGCGUCUGCUGUGAAAACUCAGGGCUUAACCCUGAGCCUGCAGUGGGUACGGGCAGACUAGAGUGUGGUAGGGGAGAUCGGAAUUCCUGGUGUAGCGGUGGAAUGCGCAGAUAUCAGGAGGAACACCGGUGGCGAAGGCGGCAUCCUGGACCGGCAUUGACGCUGAGUGAGCGAAAGCCAGGGGAGCAAACGGG
This 254-nucleotide ribosomal RNA is filed under the name uncultured bacterium. Its description in RNAcentral is "partial 16S ribosomal RNA". It matches the Rfam family "Bacterial small subunit ribosomal RNA", at positions 524 to 776 of the family's 1533-position model. The record is from RNAcentral.